RNAcentral lists this ribosomal RNA (253 nucleotides) under uncultured bacterium. RNAcentral describes it as "partial 16S ribosomal RNA". It matches the Rfam family "Bacterial small subunit ribosomal RNA", at positions 524 to 776 of the family's 1533-position model. The record is from RNAcentral.
UACGUAGGGGGCUAGCGUUGUCCGGAAUCAUUGGGCGUAAAGCGCGUGUAGGCGGCCCGGUAAGUCCGCUGUGAAAGUCGGGGGCUCAACCCUCGGAUGCCGGUGGAUACUGUCGGGCUCGAGUACGGAAGAGGCGAGUGGAAUUCCUGGUGUAGCGGUGAAAUGCGCAGAUAUCAGGAGGAACACCAAUGGCGAAGGCAGAUCUCUGGGCCGUAACUGACGCUGAGGAGCGAAAGCAUGGGGAGCGAACAGG